RNAcentral lists this long non-coding RNA (317 nucleotides) under Pan troglodytes (chimpanzee). RNAcentral describes it as "long non-coding RNA NONPTRT011636". Lineage: Eukaryota; Metazoa; Chordata; Mammalia; Primates; Hominidae. The record is from RNAcentral.
CCUAUUUUACCACCUUAGAAUUUCCGUAUCAGCCUUGAAGGGUAAUCAGGCUAAGUGCAUUUUUUUUCAGUGAGGAAUUUUAAGAAGAAUAUAAAAGCUGAAGAGUCAUAAUAUGCUAUUCUUUGUAUACGAAAAUGGCAGUCCUGACCUGCUAUUAGUCGGGGCACUUAUGGCUGUGGUAGAUUUUUUUGGGUCCAUCUGCCUUUCCUUCCAGGCACCCCAGGCUUCUCAGGACGAAAAGCGUAAUCGGUGACCUCAGAACAGAGCAACGCUAAUGAGGAUGACCCUGACCUCGGGAGAAUAGUGUUCUGACCCUC